Molecule: transfer RNA, 70 nt
Filed under: Phrynosoma platyrhinos (Desert horned lizard)
Lineage: Eukaryota; Metazoa; Chordata; Lepidosauria; Squamata; Phrynosomatidae
Description: tRNA-OTHER
Source: RNAcentral
GCCAGCAUGGCUAAUGGUUUGAGUGUUGGACUGUGACGCUGGAGCCAGGGUUCGAUUCCCAGCUCAGCCA